RNAcentral lists this ribosomal RNA (497 nucleotides) under uncultured bacterium. RNAcentral describes it as "partial 16S ribosomal RNA". It matches the Rfam family "Bacterial small subunit ribosomal RNA", at positions 28 to 507 of the family's 1533-position model. The record is from RNAcentral.
GAUGAACGCUGGCGGCGUGCCUAAUACAUGCAAGUCGAGCGAACAGACGAGGAGCUUGCUCCUCUGACGUUAGCGGCGGACGGGUGAGUAACACGUGGAUAACCUACCUAUAAGACUGGGAUAACUUCGGGAAACCGGAGCUAAUACCGGAUAAUAUAUUGAACCGCAUGGUUCAAUAGUGAAAGACGGUUUUGCUGUCACUUAUAGAUGGAUCCGCGCCGCAUUAGCUAGUUGGUAAGGUAACGGCUUACCAAGGCAACGAUGCGUAGCCGACCUGAGAGGGUGAUCGGCCACACUGGAACUGAGCCACGGUCCAGACUCCUACGGGAGGCAGCAGUAGGGAAUCGUCCGCAAUGGGCGAAAGCUUGACGGAGCAACGCCGCGUGAGUGAUGAAGGUCUUCGGAUCGUAAAACUCUGUUAUUAGGGAAGAACAAAUGUGUAAGUAACUAUGCACGUCUUGACGGUACCUAAUAAGAAAGCCACGGCUAACUACGUG